GCUGUGUGGCAUUUUCUGGUCUAAAGCUCUGCUAGACAAUUGCGGUUGGGUGCAGUGUCUCACGCCUGUAAUCCCAGCACUUUGGAAGGCCAAGGCAGGAGGAUUGCUUGAGGCCAGGAAUUCAAGACCAGCCUGGGAAACAAACAUUUUCUUUGGACCAUUUUCUUCUUUGGAGGAUUAUACCUUGCUCAUCUUGGCACAAAAGAAGGCGAAAGGAAGUAACAUGGGAUUGGGAAAAGAGCAAGGAGGUAAAGUUUGAGGAAAAAAAAUCACUCUGUUGAUGUCUUCUUGAGUAGGCCAAGUUGCGUAUAAAGAGAAAAUGACAACAGGAGAUUUUAAGGUAUGAUAUAUUGUUAACAGUAGUACUUAUUUAAGAAGAGAAAAUAUGUUUUUGAAAACAAAUUUAAACUUGAAAGGAUGAUUUUCAUAUUUUGAAGGGAUUUAUAACUUCACAAAGCACCUCCAUUCUAUCUUGUUCAGCUUUACAUUUAAAAAUUCUUCUUGUUCGUAUAAAACUUAUCUCUUACAUAAAGUGAAAUCUGUUAAUUUUUUGUUUUGACAAGGAUAAACUACUUAUCUGCAUCUGUUUAAGAAUAGAUUAACUUAUUUUGAGAAGAAAUUCUGGGCACCAUUUUUGACUAUUGAAGACUUAUUUGUAAUUUAAUUUCUACUUUACAUUGUGAACGUUCAUUUUCUAAUAAACAAGAUUAUUUUGCAUAUGUAC
RNAcentral lists this small RNA (724 nucleotides) under Pongo abelii (Sumatran orangutan). Its description in RNAcentral is "processed transcript". The record is from RNAcentral. Lineage: Eukaryota; Metazoa; Chordata; Mammalia; Primates; Hominidae.